This is a long non-coding RNA of Ictalurus punctatus (channel catfish), 2583 nucleotides long. NCBI's taxonomy places the organism in Eukaryota, Metazoa, Chordata, Actinopteri, Siluriformes, Ictaluridae. The record is from Ensembl.
CAGAAACGAGGAGAGAGAGACAGAAACGAGGAGAGAGAGAGAGAGACAGAAACGAGGAGAGAGAGACAGAAACGAGGAGAGGGAGACAGAAACGAGGAGAGAGAGGGAGACAGAAACGAGGAGAGGGAGACAGAAACGAGGAGAGGGAGACAGAAAUGAGGAGAGAGAGGGAGACAGAAACAAGGAGAGAGAGACAGAAACGAGGAGAGAGAGACAGAAACGAGGAGAGAGAGGGAGACAGAAACGAGGAGAGGGAGACAGAACGAGGAGAGGGAGACAGAAAUGAGGAGAGAGAGGGAGACAGAAACGAGGAGAGGGAGACAGAAACGAGGAGAGAGAGAGACAGAAACGAGGAGAGAGAGACAGAAACGAGGAGAGGGAGACAGAAACGAGGAGGAGAGGGAGACAGAAACGAGGAGAGGGAGACAGAAACGAGGAGAGGGAGACAGAAAUGAGGAGAGAGAGGGAGACAGAAACAAGGAGAGAGAGACAGAAACGAGGAGAGAGACAGAAACGAGGAGAGAGAGACAGAAACGAGGAGAGAGAGAGAGAGACAGAAACGAGGAGAGAGAGACAGAAACGAGGAGAGAGAGAGAGAGAGACAGAAACGAGGAGAGAGAAAGAAACGAGGAGAGAGAGAGAGAGAGACAGAAACGAGGAGAGAGAGAGACAGAAACGAGGAGAGAGAGAGAGAGAGAGAAAGAAACGAGGAGAGAGAGAGAAACGAGGAGAGAGAAAGAGAGAGAGAGAGAGAGAGAGAGAGAGAGACAGAAACGAGGAGAGAGAGACAGAAACAGGAGAGACUGCUGGACAGAAGAGAGGAGAGAGAGACAGCAAGUAAGAGAGAUGGACAGAACGAGACAGGCAGAGAAAAGGAGUGAGACGUGAAGAGAAAUAAAUGGAGACGGACAGAGGAGAAGAAAGAAAGAGGGACAGUAAAUAAGAGAGACGGCUGUAAUAGAAGAGUCAGCCUCAGUGAAGGAGGCGUGGCCUCUGUGUCUGUUUUUGUGAAGGGGGUGUGGGAUCUGUGUCAGUUUUGGUGAAAGAGGCGUGGCCUAUUUUUUGUGUUUUGUUAAUUGUUUCCUUACACACACACACACAGACACAUGGUUUAAGGUUCUAGCUUGGCUGCAGCUCUAAUGGAAGGAAAAAUGUUGAUCUGGCAACCUAUUGAACAGGAACUAGAGUCAAUCUGGCAACCCUGAUCAAUAUACAUAUUUUAUAACAUGCUUCUUAAAAAAGGUAAAAUAAUAAUAAGCAAUAAUUGUAGAGCGCUUUUCUGACACAUGCUGAGCAGUCAAUAAUAAACAACCUAAAUUUAAAAAAGAAUAAUUUUCAUAAUAUUAAUAUAAGAUGUCACUGAAUCCAGAAAUUUCUACAUUUUUACUGGAGGGAUAUAAUCUAAUCUGGCCACCCUGACUACUUCUUUCACUGUAUGUACUGUGUGUACAUGUUUAAUCAGAAACUCUUUCAAUUGUUUGUUUAUUCAUUUCAUUCUUUUAAUCAAUUUUAUUGAUAUAAACCCUUUAGCAUUUUGCUGACUAAAUCUGGCAACCCUUGUAGUGACAUCACACUCUCUCUCGGCUCUCUCUCGCUCUCUCUCUCUCGCGCUGCCGUUUACAGCUCGGUGUUCAGCUCCGAGGUCGUGUUGUUCUUUACGCUGUGUCUGAUUACACACGAUUAAUUACCGCAAUUCGUUUGCGUUGCGUUUAAUUACGCUGAUUUAAAUCUGCUGCUGCUGUUCUUCUUGUUUUCUCUGCGUGAUUGUAAAAGACAAACCUCUGUGCUUCACUUCCUCAGUGUUGGAGGAACACACACACACACACUCAUACAUACACACACAUGCACAUACUUCAAACUGUACAUGUUAGAGCGCUUUUUAUAGGAAAUACACAGAAAUCCCCUGGCAUCUGGGGACUACAUGGAAUCAUUAUAUCUCUGAUCAUGAUGGAUCUGACUCGCUCCAUUUACAGUCAUCAUCCGUUCAUCCAUCCCGCCAUCCAUCUAUCAGUCCAUCCAUCCACCCCUCCAUUCAUUUAUUCAUAACUCAAUCCAUUCAUCCACCCAUCCAUCCAUCAGUCUGUCCAUCCACCCAUCCCUCCAUUCAUUUAUCCGUCCAUUCGUCGGGGGUUCAGGCCCCAGCACUGCCAAGCUGCCUCUGUUGGGCCCUUGAGCAAGGCCCUUAACCCUCUCUGCUCCAGGGGGCGCUGUUUCAUGGCUGACCCUGUACUCUGACCCCAACUUCCUGACAUGCUGGGGUAUGCGAAAUAAAGCAUUUCACUGUGCUGUAAUGUAUGUGUGAUAAAUAAAGACUCGUUAUCAUUAUCUAUCCAUCCAUCAGUCCAUCAGUCCAUCUAUCUGACUCUCCCUGAUGUUGCUUAUUGACAAAGUAUGUACUUUAGUCCUUCAACCAAUCUGGCAACCCGGGCCAUUCAAAUCUAUGUAUUUACAUGUAAAGAUCAGACAAUUCUGAUUAUCUGACUGAACUUAAUCCAAUCUGGCAACCCUGAUCACUUCACAUCCAUUAAUCUCCGAGUCGUUCUGCACUUUCCAGUCUGAUCGUGAUAUAAAAUACACCUGGAG